UACGGAGGAUCCGAGCGUUAUCCGGAUUUAUUGGGUUUCACGGGUGCGUAGGCGGCUUUUUCAGUCAGGGGUGAAAGACGGCAGCUCAACUGUCGCAGUGCCUUUGAUACUGAAGAGCUUGAAUGCACUUGAAGUAGGCGGAAUGUGACAAGUAGCGGUGAAAUGCAUAGAUAUGUCACAGAACACCAAUUGCGAAGGCAGCUUACUAAAGUGUGAUUGACGCUGAGGCACGAAAGCGGGGGGAUCAAACAGG
This 253-nucleotide ribosomal RNA is filed under the name uncultured bacterium. RNAcentral describes it as "partial 16S ribosomal RNA". It matches the Rfam family "Bacterial small subunit ribosomal RNA", at positions 524 to 776 of the family's 1533-position model. The record is from RNAcentral.